Molecule: ribosomal RNA, 404 nt
Filed under: uncultured bacterium
Lineage: Bacteria
Description: bacterial SSU rRNA
Rfam family: Bacterial small subunit ribosomal RNA
Source: RNAcentral
AUUGAACGCUGGCGGAAUGCUUUACACAUGCAAGUCGAGCGGCAGCACGGGUGCUUGCACCUGGUGGCGAGUGGCGAACGGGUGAGUAAUGCACCGGAACGUAUCCAAUAAUGGGGGAUAACGCACCGAAAGGUGUGCUAAUACCGCAUACGCCCUGAGGGGGAAAGCGGGGGAUCGUAAGACCUCGCGUUAAUGGAGCGGCCGAUGCCGGAUUAGCUAGUUGGUGAGGUAAAGGCUCACCAAGGCGACGAUCCGUAGCUGGUCUGAGAGGACGACCAGCCACACUGGAACUGAGACACGGUCCAGACUCCUACGGGAGGCAGCAGUGGGGAAUUUUGGACAAUGGGCGCAAGCCUGAUCCAGCCAUUCCGCGUGAGUGAAGAAGGCCUUCGGGUUGUUAAAGG